This 371-nucleotide ribosomal RNA is filed under the name uncultured bacterium. RNAcentral's name for it is "bacterial SSU rRNA". It matches the Rfam family "Bacterial small subunit ribosomal RNA", at positions 527 to 896 of the family's 1533-position model. The record is from RNAcentral.
GGAAGGUGCAAGCGUUGCUCGGAAUCAUUGGGCGUAAAGGGUGCGUAGGCGGCUUGGUAAGUCGGGUGUGAAAGCCCUGGGCUCAGCCCGGGAAGGGCACUCGAAACUGCCGAGCUGGAGUGCCGGAGGGGAGAGUGGAAUUCCUGGUGUAGCGGUGAAAUGCGUAGAGAUCAGGAGGAAUACCGGUGGCGAAAGCGACUCUCUGGACGGCAACUGACGCUGAGGCACGAAAACGUGGGGAGCAAACAGGAUUAGAUACCCUGGUAGUCCACGCCGUAAACGAUGGGCACUAGGUGUCGGGGGUAACCACUCCCUCGGUGCCGCCGCUAACGCAUUAAGUGUCCCGCCUGGGAAGUACGGUCGCAAGAUUA